RNAcentral lists this long non-coding RNA (1164 nucleotides) under Oryctolagus cuniculus (rabbit). RNAcentral describes it as "lncRNA (ENSOCUG00000031952.1)". The record is from RNAcentral. Lineage: Eukaryota; Metazoa; Chordata; Mammalia; Lagomorpha; Leporidae.
AUGGUGACCUGGCUCACGACUUUCCGCGGGGACCUGAGCCCCUCUCUUCCCUCGCGGCGGGGCCAGGCAGAGGCUGGAGGCUGCCGCGGUGGAAAUUGUGCCAGGGGAGGCCUACUGCUUCCCCGCUACCCACCGGGGCCUAGGGCGCGGGGGCUCCUUCUGCAGCUGUGCGGGGCAGGACUUUGCUUCUCUGGGAAGAGGAGGAGGUGGGAGGGCGGGGGCACCAGAGAGAGGAAGGCGGACAUGGCCGGUCUUGGCCAGGAAAGUGGCCAUCAGGCUCUCCACGCUUUCCUCCCUGCGUUCGCCGUUCCUGCCUCUUGCCCCCUUCUCUUUCCGCGGGGGUGGAAGGCGGUGGACUUCUUGGAAAACGUCCCUGUUUGUCAGGAAGACAGGAAGGACUGCUCCUGCCACGCCUCAGUCACGGAGGUCAGUGGUUCCUCUGGAAGGUUCCUGCUCCCGCUCAGAGGCAGAGCCAGACAGCGGAUCUGCCCUGUGCCCCAGAGUCGGUCUUUCAGUGCGAGGGCAGAGAGGGGUGCUUCCCGGUGCAGGUGCGCCCUGUGCAGUGGCGCGGAGCCACCUGGAGCUCGGCGUGGCUGGGGUUUCCAGUGGAUGCUCCGCAUCCGAGCCUGCUGCUCACCUGUUCUGCAGGUCCCAGCAGCUUGUGGCAAUGGGGACGGAAAGCGUACUACACGAAGGCCACGCUGGAGGCGCCAGGGUGUGGGGAGCACAGCCCAGGGCUCCACCCUGAGAAGAGACAGAGAAGUGCAGGGGCGCGGGGUGGGGGUGGGGGGUAGAUCAGGGCGCCUGGAGCCCACUGUGCCUGAAACAGCCACGAAGGGGCCUGGGGGCAGUGUGGCUGCAGCAGGAGCUGGGCAGUCAGGAGUAGGACACAGGCCGGGCGGACAGCAGGCGGACCCAGGCACGGCCGCCCACCGCAGCGCAGCCCCUCCUGCACAGCUCUCUGGGCCAGCCCUGGCAAGGGUCCCAGGUAUCCACCUCGGUGACCGCGGGCCUGGACUCCCCCCUCUGCUGUCCCCCACCCCAUUCACUUUUCUGUUCACAGCAAGCCCCCGAGCGCAUCCCACUGUCACCCUGGGAAAUAGCGGCCACCAGGCAGGUCCGGGCCUGGUGGGACACAGUUCAGACACCCGGGGUUCCGAGUAG